GGCCCGGGGCCUGGGACCGCCCGGGCGCAUGCUCCCGCCGCACCUGCCGCCGCGGGUUCGCCCAAGGGAGCGCGGCGGGCGUGGGACGGCUUCCACCUGCUGGGAGGGUGGGUGCGGCUUGCUUCGCGUCGAUUCUCCAGAAGGAAGGUCCCAAACCUUACUUCUGUCUGCCUGCCCCCAACCUCCCGCUCCCGGCCGAAAAGAAGAUUGUCCUUCAAAAUAAAAGGAGACUCUUCCCCCUGGCCCCAGAUGUCCAAGGACCCUGUUGUAGAUGCUUGAGAUGAAGCAGAAGCAGGAGAUGCUGCUGAGGCCCUGCCCUUAGGGAUCUUAACGACUGGCUGGUCACAAAGCCUUGUCCCCAUUUGAGGAGGAGCAUUAAAUAAUUUAAGCUGGCUUACUUAUUAAAAAUAGGGCUUCCUUGGUGGCUUAGACAGUAAAGAAUCUGCCUACCAAUGCAGGAGACCCGACUUAGAUCCCUGGGUCAGGAAGAUUCCCCUGGAAUAGGAAAUGGCAACCCACUCUAGUAUUCUUGCCUGGAGAAUUCCAUGAACAGAAGAGCCUGGUGGACUACAGUCUGUGGGGUCGCAGAGAGGCAGACACGACUGAGCGGCUAGCACUUACAGUUAAAAGUUGCUUGGGGGGGUAUAUGUAUACUUAGAGCUGAUUCACCUUAUUGUACUGCAGGAAAUAAUAAAAUAUUGUAAAGCAAUUAUCCUUCAAUUAAAAAUAAAUUUUAAAUGGAAUACUACUCAGCCAUAAAAAGGACGGAGUAGGGUCCUUUUUAAAGGACCUUUUAAAAGGGAUUUGCAUCCCUUCUGGUGAGUUAGAUGAACCUGUUAUGCAGCAGGAAGUCAGAGAAAAACAAAUACCCUAUAUUGAUGCACAUUUAUGGAAUCUAGAGAAAUGAUAGUGAUGAACCUGUCGGCAGGACAGGAAUAGAGAUGUAGACAUAGAGAGCAGAUUUAUGAACACAGCUGGGGAAGGAGAGGGUAGGAUGAACUGAGAGAGUAGUAUUGAAACAUACAUUACCAUCUGUAAGACAGAUAGCUAGUGGGAAGCUGCUGUAUGACAUGGGGAGCUCAACCGGAUGCUCUGUGACAACCUAGAAGGGUGGGG
Molecule: long non-coding RNA, 1116 nt
Organism: Bos taurus (domestic cattle)
Lineage: Eukaryota; Metazoa; Chordata; Mammalia; Artiodactyla; Bovidae
Source: Ensembl